GCCUGGGUGGCUCAGUUGGUUAAGCGUCUGACUUUGGCUCAGGUCAUGAUCUCGCGGUUUGUGAGUUCGAGCCCCACAUCGGGCU
This 85-nucleotide transfer RNA is filed under the name Felis catus (domestic cat). It matches the Rfam family "tRNA". From Rfam's summary of the family: Transfer RNA (tRNA) molecules are approximately 80 nucleotides in length. Their secondary structure includes four short double-helical elements and three loops (D, anti-codon, and T loops). Further hydrogen bonds mediate the characteristic L-shaped molecular structure. tRNAs have two regions of fundamental functional importance: the anti-codon, which is responsible for specific mRNA codon recognition, and the 3' end, to which the tRNAs corresponding amino acid is attached (by aminoacyl-tRNA synthetases). tRNAs cope with the degeneracy of the genetic code in two manners: having more than one tRNA (with a specific anti-codon) for a particular amino acid; and 'wobble' base-pairing, i.e. permitting non-standard base-pairing at the 3rd anti-codon position. Lineage: Eukaryota; Metazoa; Chordata; Mammalia; Carnivora; Felidae. The record is from Rfam by way of RNAcentral.